RNAcentral lists this unclassified non-coding RNA (323 nucleotides) under uncultured fungus. RNAcentral's name for it is "partial contains small subunit ribosomal RNA, internal transcribed spacer 1, and 5.8S ribosomal RNA". The stretch from base 1 to 73 matches the Rfam family "Eukaryotic small subunit ribosomal RNA", at positions 1759 to 1831 of the family's 1831-position model. The record is from RNAcentral. Lineage: Eukaryota; Fungi.
UCAAACUUGGUCAUUUAGAGGAAGUAAAAGUCGUAACAAGGUUUCCGUAGGUGAACCUGCGGAAGGAUCAUUACCGAACCGUCAAACAUGGGUUGUUGCUGGCCUUCAAACGGGGGCAUGUGCACGCUCUGUUUACACAUCCACUCACACCUGUGCACCCUCCGUAGUUCUAUGGUUUGGAAGGCCUUGUCUUCCUUCUGUAGCUCUGCGUCUUCACACACACACUGUAACGAUGUAGUAUGGAAUGCUUUCUGCGUUUAACGCGAUACAAUACAACUUUCAGCAACGGAUCUCUUGGCUCUCGCAUCGAUGAAGAACGCAGC